UGGAUACAGUUAAAACAGGAGGCUACACAGCUGCUGGACACAGGAAAGGUCAAGCCAUGACAUCACAGAGCAAGUCCUGACAACACAGAGUGACUCACGGAGAGAUAAGGCAUCGCAAAAAGCUGAUAAACUGGAUACAUUUAAAACAGGAGGCUACACAGCUGCUGGACACAGGAAAGGUCAAGCCAUGACAUCACAGAGCAAGUCCCGACAACUCAGAGUGACUCACAGAGAGACAAGACAUCGUUAAAAGCUGAUAAACUGGAUACAUUUAAAACAGGAGGCUACACAGCUGCUGGACACAGGAAAGGUCAAGCCAUGACAUCACAGAGCAAGUCCUGACAACACAGAGUGACU
Long non-coding RNA from Amblyraja radiata (thorny skate), 357 nucleotides. RefSeq lists it as uncharacterized. The record is from RefSeq and is a predicted model, not a curated record. NCBI's taxonomy places the organism in Eukaryota, Metazoa, Chordata, Chondrichthyes, Rajiformes, Rajidae. The transcript is spliced from 4 exons.